Heterocephalus glaber (naked mole-rat) is the source of this 10294-nucleotide long non-coding RNA. Lineage: Eukaryota; Metazoa; Chordata; Mammalia; Rodentia; Bathyergidae. The record is from Ensembl.
CCACCAACCUGCAGCGGGUGUGUAACACAGCACACCGGCUAAGCCCUGGUAGCCCGGAACUCUUCUCUUGGAAAAAGUGCACUCGGCCAAAGUGGUCUCAAACCCCUGACAGCGCACUUGCAAGCAUUCUGUGGAGUUUAUCUGGAGAUCUUCAGAAUAAUGAAACCUUCCCCGAGUAUCAAGAGCACCUCUGGAAGCAGCAAAACGAAACGUGAUGGUAAAAAAUUACUACUUGCAUUUUACUGUCAUACUGUAGGAGGUAAGCGCCUAGAGUAAUUUCCUCUCAUCUUCUAUAAAUCUAUACGUGUUCUACAAAUCAGGUUACAGUCUCUUUGCCUUGGUAUUUUCAACUGCAAAAGGGAAUAUAUCUACUUCACUAGGUUUUAUAAGAUUAACUAAAAUAAUCACUUUAGACUGACUAGCCUGGAGGAGGACAAGGGGGACGAUCUUUUAAAAAUUGAUUACUCUAACAGAAAUUAGAGAAGGGACAAGAGCACAGAAUAAGUAGGGUUAUAAUAAGCCCAAAAUAAGAUAAGGAAAAGAAAGUCAACAAUGUAAAGUAAUCACAAUAAGGUAAAGUGGGCUAAACUUUUCAGUUAAUGAUUGACAUAUUGGAUUUUUUUUUUAAAAUGCUCUCUGUAUAAAGAACACACUUAACAGGAAGAUACAAAACGAUGAAAGUAAAGAAAUGGGAAAAGAUUGUGAACAAAAGAGUUAACAACAUCGCUGAUUCUAAUAGUUAAUGUUCUAGAACUAUGUACAUGAAGUACUUAAAAAGCACUCAGCGCAAAGCAAAUACCCACAUAAUUUAAAAACUUGUCAUCGUACAGGGACAUUCUCUGACAUCAAUGCAGUGAGAGAGGAAAUCGAUAAUUAAAAAGUUAACUAUCAGCAAGCUAAUGUGUUCAUUUGGAAAGUACAAAACACCUUCUAAAUUGCAAAUGGAUCAAAAAAGUUUGCAUUGACAAUCAGAAGAUAUUUUGAACCGAAUAAUAAAUAAAAUAUCACUUAGGGAGUUUAUGGCAUGCAGAUAAAGCAUUACUUACAGAGAAAUAGGUACCUUAAAUGUUUAUGUUAGGGAAGUAAGAAAAAUUGAAAAGGAUUGAGUUAAGCAUUUGAUUCCAGGAAUUAGAAAAAAAUAAAACAGGGAAGAAAGUGGGAGGGUUGAAGAUAACAGCAAUGAUUAAGGAAGUAGAAAAUAAAGAAAUAAGGGACCUCUGCCAAACACAAAAUACAAAAGACUAAUCAGAUAGACUCGCAGUAAAGGCCAAACGAGGAAAGGUGUAAGUAAUAUUAGCUGUGGAAAAGUGGAUGUAAUUAUAGCUGGGUAGAGAGAGACAGGAACAAAUGUACUCAAAGUCACCCAAGGAUUCAGCCCAAAUACUUGAGCCAACUCUCAGGGGAACGCAGUUAAUCCUCAUAACAAUGCUAAGAGGCUGGGAGUGGAUAUUCUCAGGUUACACCACAGGAAACUGCAGGACAGAAAGCCCAGGUAACCAGAAAGCCAGCAGCUGGAACAAUGAAAUCCAGCCUGAGAAAAUCCCCCUGUCCUUCCUAGCACUCACUGUUGAAAUCCGAGGUCAAAGCAGGCCACGUUGGCUUCCGCCAUGCCCCAGUUGCUUUUACAGAUGAACAUUUUCUUAUCUUGGUCCACAAGUUUUACUGUGACAAUUCCCUUUGAAUCUGUACUUUCAUCACUUAAGGAAACACUAAAUUCUCCUAAAGUAGAAAGGAAUGAACAAUAUUUAGGCAUUCAUUGUUUUAUCUGCUGAAUUUAAGAGCCUUUAAAACAGUAAAAUAUCUCAUUUCAAAAUGACUUUGACGGCCAUGAAGAUUUUAACAAACCAUAACAGGCAUUUCUUUCAACAGUGCUUAUGUGGCAACGGCCAUGCUACCCGUCAUGUGGAAGGCCACUCAAUCCUCACACCCACCUUGUAAAGAUGAAGCCCGCCUUGUCUCCAUUUUUUCACAGGAGGAACCUAAAUCUAGGAGACGUUAAAUUCCCGGCCCAAGUGGUGAAGCCAGGAAUUGGAAGCUGCUCUGUUAUCUCACUGCAGAGUCUUAGAAGUAAGUCACUUCCGGAAAGGCCCGAAGGGUUUGUGUGUUCUCCCACAUUCAGUGCCUGAGGAGAGGGCUGGCACUGACAGACACAGGGCCUAACUCUUGCUCUUCCCCUGUCAUAGCCAGCCGAGGUGGGCUAAGUGGAAAGCUUUAGUUCUCUUUUUACCUCUCCAUCCUAACUCAGCAUCAGAAAACUACACAGGCUACGACUGUGAGCUGGUGGCUCGCAGCACCUUUAAAAAGAGCACGUUAAGCAUUUGCUUCUCUGACAACUUGAUAGCGGAAGGCAGUGGUGAGCCUGAGUUUUGCUCUUAUGGCUAAAAUUUAAUAAACAUUUUCUUUGUGUCAAGGACUAGGCAAAGAACUUUAUCUGCAUCAUUUUAUUAACUUCCACAAGAAUUUUAUGACUUGGGAACUUUGAGCAUUCACAUUUGACAGAUGGAAGAACUGGGGCCCAGCGAUUCCCACAGCUGGUCAGUAACAGAGGUGGGCAUGGAGGAGAUGGAAACUGAGAACCUAAUCCUGUGCCUCGAGUCGUAGCCCCUCGUUCCAUAGGCACCUAUAGGGUACAGGCAAAUUUGCCUGAUGUGCCAAGCUGGCUAGGGGAGCAUGCCUAGCUCCGGCGUCUCUCAGCCCCUCAGAUACCCAGGGGCAGCCGGUGCAGGGAUGGGGCCGAGGGAAGAUGCUGGAAGAAACACUGGGGGCUGGGACCCAAAGGCUGAGCGGACCCAGCCCUCCUGUGUGACUAGCCUGCCAAGGCCUUCUCACUGACUCUGAACCAGCUGGGCGGUCCCGGGGAGGGGCCCUUUGACAACGCCAAAGGGCAGCAGUGAGACCUCAGAGCCAGGUGCUCUGGGCUCAUGGCUGGAUUCAGGUGACUCCCGAUUUCUUUAGUUACCACUUCAGUUACUGUUGAGGUGUCAAGCAUUUUGAGUCAUCAUCCGAACAUUCCACAGCCAAGGUCUUUCCUAAGAGAAAGGCUGGUAUACAGUGGCCCUCUUAGGUCACAACAUAACAUGAUAAAUAGGCUGUUCUACCUUCAGCUGUGCACGUUCCUGUUAUUUAAAAACUUGGCCUCUGGACGAAGGCAUUCAAAGCUCUUCAGAUGGCAGUACGUUGGAAAGCUUCUCCCGUUGGUUGAACACACGGAGGUGCCGUUCUUGGGGCACUGAUAGGGGAGUUUGCAAAUACAGGUCCCGUCCCACGCACUUCUCCCACGGCUGGCAGAAGACUUUGCUGCAGGAGCGAUGUGUGUAUUUGUUCAAUAAGCACUUGGCAUCCACCAGGUCCUCCUGAGGGGCGGCUGGCGCUGAAGGGAGCUAUAAAACACAAAAGAGCCAUCGGCUUAGCAGCAAACCCAAAGCUGCUUUUUCAAACACAGAUGAGGAUGAUGGGGUCCGGUGGUUUUAGGAACCAGACAAACCUGGCUUCUUGCCCCAGUUUGGGUCAUAUAACUUUGGGAAAGUUACCUCAUGAACAUGGUUUCCUCAUCUGCAAUUCUGCGAGGUAAUUAUAAAGAUUAGAAAUCAUAUGCGUCAUGCGAUGGUUGGCAGGUGCUACGUAGGCAAUUAAUGGAAGCUGUUAUUACCCUAAGGCCAACAUAAAAUUAUGCCUCCAAAGAAGUCAGUGAAUCUCAGCAGUCAUGUUAAGGAGCAACACAUUUGGUGCUGAACAUGUCUUAUGGAAUGCAUUUGUUUUUCUGUUAUUAAACACAAAGCCAUUUUUUGAGCUCCUACUAUACGUAAAGUCUUUCUAGGAUGGACAUGAACUGGUCUCCACCUCCAAGGACUUUCUUUCUAGGCAGUAAGGCAGGACCCACAUACUAGUAGGACACUGGCAGAUGGUGGUGAGUGAUGUAACUGGGGUACAAAAGCAGCACAGUAGACUUAGGGAAACAGGGUAGGAGAGUGCGUGUGCUAGUCCCGCGGAACGAGGCCAGGAAGGACAGGUCUGGCUGUCAGGAUCCCGUGUUUGCCACAGACAGGGGAGGGCUGAUGCGGAACAUUUCGGGAGUGGGUACAGUGAUGGGACUCAGCAGUCUAAUCCAUGUGUGGGCUGAAGGGGACCCUAGGUUUUUCACGCUGAGUGAACGAGUGAUGUUUCUUUCACCGACCACAAGUAUUAAAGGACUGCUUGAUCUACUGCAUAUAAAGCCUUAUCCUCAAAGCAUUAACAAUGAGUAAAAUAACUCGAUUGCAUUUGAAGAGAGCUGACCAUUUGAGACCAUUUGCACUUAAUGCUUGUCAGGGUCCCAGACACUCACUAGAUAUAGAACACGAUGUUUAUAGUGUCAGCCUGCAACUUCAUUUAUAAAAAGGCUGAAGUCAUUUACAUGGAAUCUUGUUCUAUAUACUACAUGCCAAUCUGUAUGUAAGUUGUAUAGUUAGGCACUUUAUAAGUUUUUCAUGAAAUAUAUUCCACAUAAUACAGAAAUAUUGUUCAUACUGAUGAGAAUGAAAUUUGCAUUGAGCAGAGCUUUAGGUUUGCAAUUUAAAAAUUUUUUUUUGAGCAGAGCUUUAAAAUGAGUGUAAGUAGCAGUAAACAUUUUCUUUCUGCAACCUGUACUUAUACGUUCUUCCUGUAAACUACAUAAAAAUAUUGUAGUGAAUUUUGGUGGUGAUUUUAAAGGUUUUGAUUAGGUCAAUAAUUGCUUAAGCACUGUUUAAUUCAUGUUGAAAUAUCUUUACUUUUAGUUCUGAAUAUCUAAAAACUCAUUUAAUUAAUAUGCUAUUCUUGAUUUAGUGGUAUUCUCUAUUCAUAUUUUUGGUAUUUAACCUAGUUAGUUUAGGCUCAGUCAUAAUAGUGGAUAGAGUCUCUGUUAUUUCAAGAGAUGUUAAAUAUUUAUACGCUGUGUUGACUAGCUCAAAUGUGAAUUCUGUUAGUGUUGCUAAAGAAGAAUCUGGUAGUUUUUUUUUAAAGAAUGUCUGAAAUAUAGUCUUACAACUAAUAUCAUAGUGGUGAGCCUUUCCCUAUGUGUUUAUUGUCCUUGUUCUUUACUAGGUAUCUUUUUUCAGCUAAUAUGUCCUUAUAAUUAAAUAAAAAAUUUUGAAAAGUAAUGAAGUAUGGUUAAUGACAUUAUCCAACGAAAAACUCAGUGGUCCAAUUAUUAAAACAUUUGUGUUAAAAUUUUGGCUUAAAAAUGCAAAUUUAAGUGUGUUUACUUAUAUAGCAGCCCAUUUAUUUACAUAUGAAUAUAUUCAAGGAUACUGGGAGCAUUGCUCAAAAUGUUUUGGCAAUUAGUACUGUAGCCAAUUUGUCUACUAAGCACGACCCCACUCCUUUAGGUGCUGCUGCUGUGUUGUGCAUGAGGACUUAAGAAAAAAAACCUUUCCUUGAUAGCUGUAAUGAUGUAGCAAUUACACUUCUGUGUGUUUCUCUAGGCAGGAGUACAAGGAAAGCAGUUUAGACAGUUCCUAGAAAACGAAGAAGAAAUCAAACAAUCUCCUAUUCUAUGCCGUAUCAACCCUCACGUACAGAUAAAUAGCUUUACCUCAUGCUUCUUUGUCACCUGGUUUUUCCAAUGUUUUCCAUAUUUGCCCUAUAAACGAGAGGGGAGAAAAGAUGAUCAAGUAUGACCAAAACAAGAAAAGCUCCCCCACUUUCCCCUCUCUAUGGACAUUGUUGGGGAGCCCCACUCUGCUGCGAGCUCUGUGUAAUCUUGGUAAGGGGCUGUCUUCCUCCCUCCCCCCUCCCUCCCUUCCUUUGUUUCUUCCUUUCUGUUUUCUCAUCUUGUUUUUAAAAUUUACUUUAUGAGUCCACGUUUGCAGUACAUACUGACCACAUUCAUAGAGAGGUGUUGGUACUUGUACAUAAUACUUAAUUCUGACCCAUCCUGCUUUUGUAAAACGUGGAAAAUAAAAAUAAUGUUCUCACAUAGUUACUUUGAGGAUCAAGUGAAACAUGCAGGAGAAAGCAAAGAGACAUUUAAGAACUUAUAUUGGCUGAGGAUGUAGCUCAGGGCUAGAGUGCUUGUAAUAGCAUUCAAAAGGCCUUUGGUUGAAUUGCUGGCACUACCAAAAGAAAUUCCAUCUAGAUCCUGUAUAUAUAUAGAUGCUGCACGAACGCUAAUAUGGUGAUGAUUCUGGCAGGCAGCACAAAGCCCCACGUCUUCUACCCUCCCCUCAGUCCAGCCGCUCUCUGUGCCUCUCCCUGGGGACCAGGCUAUGUCCUUAUCCUUUGCCUCUGGACGGAAGGGAUCAGAUGUGACACAGAGAUGCUUGGACGCUGCUCCUUCGACCAGGACUGUCUCCGGUAUCUGUGCACAGCUGUGAGAACGUGGUUGGGUCAGCAAAAAGCAGAAGGGAAGAACCACCCUUCCCAGCUGGGCCUCCUCCGUCAGCUGGUCCUGGCCGACCUGCAGGCUGCAGUCUUGCCCUCCGAGAGCUGGUGGUGGUUCUGUGAUGGCAUUAACCAGCUGGGGCAACGUGGCUUCCCAGAAGAAAAAGUGGAAAACUCAGAAAGAGUCAACAGGAUAGAACUAUCCGUCCACACGGAGGAAGCGACUUGGAUCCCAAGAGUUAUCAACCAGUCAGAACCUGUUUCAGGGAAGAGUUUGAGGCCUGGCUCCCUCAGCCCCUCCGCAUCACGGUGUUCACUAGUAAUUUUGUCUCCUUCGGACCUGGAGCAGCUCUGCAUGGGACACAAGGCUGGCCCGAGACACCUCACAGCAUUACCCAGCGACCGCUCUCUUCAGAACAAAAUAAAAGGCAAAUAAGAAGGGAAGGGGAGGGCUGGGGAUUUAGCUCAGUGGUUUCGCCGCCUGCUGCACAAGCGCAAGGACCUGAGUUCGAUCCCUGGUACCAAAAAAGAAGGGAAGGGGAUCAAGCGAAGAUCAAGCGAAGGAAGACUGGGGUGGGAAGAGAAGGGAACGGAAGGGACAUAAAAGGAUGUAGGAUGUGUUGUGUGCACGCACCAAUUCCCGACGACGACGAUGAAUGCAAUCGUUAUGCACUGCAAAUGUUUGCUAAUAAAAAUUUAAAAGAAUUAAAAAAUAGGCAGUGAAUGUUUUUCUAUUAAUACCUCACAACGAGUUGUUCCAAUUCACACAAGAAACUUGAUAGUUUUUUUUAUUGUUUUCAUGUCUUUGGUUGUUUUUGAAAUCAGCACCUCCCCUUCCCAGGAUCAGGAUGUUGACAGAAACCUCGGACAGGCUCUUGUGCACUCAUGCCAAGACUUUCUAAAGCACUGGAAAGACUGCUUUGGGAUCAACUAUCAUUUUCCCUCACAGAUUACAAAAACCAUUGGCCUGGUUUCUUGAUCUUGUUUCUUUUCAUAAUGAAUGUGAGAUGUCUGAAAUUUUAUUUUCUUUAUUUGUAAUUGCUUGUUUUAAUACAGAAAACAUAGCGAAAUGUUUCAACAGGCUCAGAAAAGUUCCUGGGGAGUUCCAUCUCCUCUCAAGCUACCCAGCCCACUCGGAAGCAACCACUUACCGGUUCCUGGUGCAGUUUUUAGGUCCAGCACUGUACAGUUUUGAAACAGGGCUUCACUGAGACACAAAGUAGCCCAGUCUGGGCUGGAACUUGAGUCUUUCCUGCUUCAGCCUCCCAGAGCGAGGACUAUAGAGCAACAUUUAAACUUCUGCAUCUGCUACUCAAGCUCAGGAAAAUGGAAUAACUCGAGUUUGAAGACAGAGCCCACAGCCAGCUCGGAAAGCUCCAGUGCAUAAUGGGCCUGACAUCCCACUCCUACGGAGGCUGAACUUAGCGUGUGCUGCGUCCACGCCCACUCACAACACGAGGUCGGUGCGGGAUGCGUCAUUUGAGGAAGUGCUCGUGCUGCUUACGUUCCCACCCGCAGCAGCCGUUAACCGUUCUGUCCACUACACCAGCUGCUGACAGAGGGCUGCUUAAAUUUUAAAUUAAUUAAAAUUAAAUUAAAAGGAAAUUCUGUUUCCAGCCAAGUCAGAGAAAUAGGGACCAGAUGUACCCUCCAGCCUAAAACAAUCAACAAACAAACAAAAUAGGAGGCCUUGGUUUUCAAGACACAGGACCUCAGGCAAGGAGGGCAGCGGUCACCCAGGGCGGGAACUGCGGGCGCUGCUUUACUGCCCUGAGCGUUUACUGGUUGUGGCGCAGGGAGGAGGGGCGUGGGCUGAGCACAGGGAACUCCCAGAGCGGGGUUCAGGGCCAGGAGUCUGCUGGGACUCUUUUCAAAGCCCCUCCAGCCGGGCGUGGGGGUGCACAUCUGCAGUCCUAGCACUCUGGGAGGCUCAGGCAGGAGGAUCGCAAGUUCGAGCCCAAACUGGGCAACUUGGUGAUUUAGUGAGACCUCGUCUCAAAAUAAAAAAUAGAAAGGAGCUCCAGAGGUAGCUCAGUAGGAAUGCCCUGGGUUCAAUCCCCAGUCCCGUGGGGGGCUCCUGAGAGUACUCAGUGAAGUGUUCAUUAGCACUGGUGGAGGAAAUUACUAGAGACGGGGGUGGGGGAGCCCUGGGAGAGUUUAGGGUUACACUGCACAUCCUCAAUCGGGGCUGAGAAGUGUGCUGGUUCUCACUGUUCAAUCUAGAGAACUCGGCACUCAUGGGAGAGAGGAGCGCACACAAGAAUCUGGCCUCAGUAGCAGGGAAUAAUUAGCUCCAGGCUAAGCCCUGUUCCUAUCUUACCUGAGAAAGCUGGAGGGCAGGACCUGAAAGGGUCCAGUGUUUCCAAGCAACUGAACUGCAUCCCAGAACAAAGCUUUGUGUGUUUGCAGGAACAACAACAAAAACACACGGCAUUUGAUAAAGGUAAAAUUCAUAAUACCUGGCAUAAAAUUUUUUAAAAUUCUAAAAAUGUAAGGGAGCUGGAAAAAUGACUCAUAAUAGGGAGAAAAAUCAAUUGAAACAUACCCAGGAUUCCAGCACAGAUUUUAGAACAACCAGGCAGAGACAGUAAAAGUUAUUAUCCCAUAUGUUGAAAGUUAGACACUGGCUUUAUGAAAAAGACCCAAAUUGAACUUUGGGGAUGAAAACUACAAUAUCUGAGGUUACAGUAAUACACUGUGUGCAGCUAACAGCAGAUUGGACUUUGCAGAAGAAAAGAUUGGCAAAUCAACAUAUCAAUAGAAAGUACUCAGAAUAAAAUAGAAAUACUCUGGUCUUGGCAGUGAUUUCUUAAACAUAACAAAAGCAUAGGCAACAAAAGACAAAAUAGACAAGUGGAACUACAUCAAACUAAAACUCUUCUUCACAGCAAAGGAUACAAUCAACAAAGUGAAAGGGAAACAUACAGAAUGGGAGAAACUAUUUGCAAACCACACUUCUAAUAAAGGGUUAAUACCCAAAAUAUAUGGGGAAUUUGAACAAUUCAACCAGAAAAAUGGCUGAUUGAAAAUAUGGGUAAAGGAGUUGAAUAGACAUUUCUCCAAAGGAGACAUAAAAUGGCUAACAGAUACAGUGUGUGAAAAAGUACUCGCCAUUAUCAUCAUCAGGGUGAUGAAAAUCAAAGCCCCACACCAGUUAGGAUGGCUAUUGUCAAAGUAACAAAUCGUCACAAAUGAUGAGACGUACAGAUGAGGACCCUUGUCUACUGUGGAAUGGUACAUUGUGCAGCUACCAUGAGAAGCAGAAUGGAGGCGCCUUUAAACUUGAAAAUAGAACCACUGUAUGACCUACAGCCCCACUUCUGGGCAUAUUUCCAAAGGAAAGGAAACAAGAAUCCUGAAAAUAUAUUCCAUGUUGACUGGAAUUUUAUUCUCCACAGCCAAGACAUGGAAACAACUUAAGUACCCAAUAAUAAUUAAUCAAAUGUGAUACAUACACACAGUGAAAUAUUAUUUGGCCUUAAAAAUAAAUACCGCCAUUUGCAGCAACGUAGAUGAGUCUGAAGGACAUUUAUCUAAGUGAAUUAAGCCAGACACAGAAAGGCAAAUUUUACACGAUACUACUCCUAUUUGAUAUCUAAAAUUGGCAAACUCAUAGGAACAGAAUUGUGGCCACCAAGAAAUAGCAGAGGAAACAGGGAGGUCAGAGGGUGCGACAUCUCAGUUCAGAGCGGUUCCUGGAGCUCUGCUGCACAGCACAGCGCCUUAACAUACACCUGUGCACUUAAAGAUUUGCCAAGAGGGAGGCCUUUUACUGUGUUUUUUUCACAUGCACAUAGACAUAUAUGCACACAGCGAGAGGUAACUUGAGAUAAUGGGAUAUUGUGGCCUAGAUGGUCGCAGUAUUUUCACAGCUGUACAUUUAUCUCCAAACUCAUCAGGUUGUAUGCAUUAAACAUGUACAACGUGUUGUAUGGCAAUCAUAACUCAAUAAAGU